GGCCCUAAUUAACAGUAGUGACAGAAUUAUGAACAAUAUUUUAAAUUCUCAAAAAAGGCAUAAAUUAAAUUCUUUUGCAGCCAUUAUUGCCCUUGAAUUUGGUUUCUUUGGCGUAGGCGCUACAUGAGGAACAGUU
Molecule: small nucleolar RNA, 136 nt
Filed under: Echinops telfairi (small Madagascar hedgehog)
Lineage: Eukaryota; Metazoa; Chordata; Mammalia; Afrosoricida; Tenrecidae
Description: Small nucleolar RNA SNORA13 (ENSETEG00000026527.1)
Source: RNAcentral